CUUGAUUGGAGUCCACUUGUGGUAAAUUUCAUUGAUUGGACAUGAUUUGGAAAUGCACAGGUCCCAUGGUUGACACAGUGCAAAAACCUGUGCAAAAAACAAGCCAUAAGGUCGGGGGUCCUUAGAGACCACUUAUGCUACUUGUGCCUGGAGCCGGCCCUGAGUCCAAUGUUUCUCAACCGCACUUUCUCCUUCCAUCUCUCUGUCUCUCUUUUCAUCUCUGACAGUCUGGCCAACAGUGCUGGAACUCAAACCCCGCCUCAGCGCCGGUGGACAUUCCAGGAAGAUACUUUGAUCACCUACAGUUCCCUGAGGGGUGGUCUUUUCUCUUAGCAGAUAUGGAAGAAGUGGAAGCAGAAUGUGCGCCCAUGAAAUACGCCCCCAGGAUGCAGCGGACCAGCCAGAUGGAGAAGAUGAGGAGCUGGAGGAGGAACAGAGGGUGCAACGGGAGCAGCUGGCAGCCAUCUUCCAGCUGCUGAAGGAGAACCAGGAGACGUUUGGGGAGGUGUCAGAGAGAGACGUGGAGGAUCAACUCUACUCCAUCUAAACCCCUAGUCUACUCACAGUCGACUGUACUACGUCUAACUCUACUUUCCCCAAACUCUACUCUAUGUUAAUCCCACAUAAAGCUCACAGUCAAGAUUAAGGUGCAUUCACAUGGUCCACUGGGUUUCAAAGGGGGUGUUGUUUCAAAGGUCCACUCUGUUUUGAGGCACAUACUCUUCUCUAAAGAUUCUGGGGUGAUGGCAAAUCAGGCUUUGGAUAGUUGGGCCUGAGUGAUUUGAUUGGUCUGAUAAAAUACGAGGUUCUUAUAUCGUACACACCCAUGAAAGCCAACAGUUUCAGCAAGCCUCACAUCAAACUCUUAUCUGAACAGAUCUUUAUCCUUUCAGCUAUUCCCUGCCUUGCCUCGGCCGUAUCCUUAUCUUGUCCAUUGCUAUCUCUCCUCACCCUUUCCCACGGAGCACCCUUUCCCACGGAGCACCCUUUCCCACGGAGCACCCUUUCCCACGGAGCACCCUUUCCCACGGAGCACCCUUUCCCACGGAGCACCCUUUCCCACGGAGCACCCUUUCCCACGGAGCACCCUUUCCCACGGAGCACCCUUUCCCACGGAGCACCCUUUCCCACGGAGCACCCUUUUCCACGGAGCACCCUUUCCCACGGAGCACCCUUUCCCACGGAGCACCCUUUCCCACGGAGCACCCUUUCCCACGGAGCACCCUUUCCCACGGAGCACCCUUUCCCACGGAGCACCCUUUCCCACGGAGCACCCUUUCCCAUGGAGCACCCUUUCCCUCUAGACGCCUCUGUUUGAACAAACACAUCAUUGGUGCGAACACAAACAUGUACAUUAGAUACUCCAACACGGCGUCUGCUGUUUAUUACUUUUAUAUACCAUUCAAAGCAAUAAACACUGUGUAUUUGAUACAAGUAAUGGCAUCA
Oncorhynchus mykiss (rainbow trout) is the source of this 1446-nucleotide long non-coding RNA. RefSeq lists it as uncharacterized. The record is from RefSeq and is a predicted model, not a curated record. NCBI's taxonomy places the organism in Eukaryota, Metazoa, Chordata, Actinopteri, Salmoniformes, Salmonidae.